This 90-nucleotide transfer RNA is filed under the name Burkholderia vietnamiensis. RNAcentral's name for it is "tRNA-Ser". Lineage: Bacteria; Pseudomonadati; Pseudomonadota; Betaproteobacteria; Burkholderiales; Burkholderiaceae. The record is from RNAcentral. RNAcentral also lists the same sequence under 1 other name.
GUCGAAUUCUCUUAAUUUUCAGCAACUUACCGCGUCACACGCCGAAUCAUAAUCCGCAGGUCCGGGGUUCGAGUCCCUGAUUCGCCACCA